This is a long non-coding RNA of Diachasmimorpha longicaudata, 5086 nucleotides long. RefSeq lists it as uncharacterized. NCBI's taxonomy places the organism in Eukaryota, Metazoa, Arthropoda, Insecta, Hymenoptera, Braconidae. The record is from RefSeq and is a predicted model, not a curated record. The transcript has 3 exons.
GCGUGUUCAUCUUAUAUAGCGUCAGCGCCGGCAACGACAAUACAUGUCUCCUGAUUUUCCUCUCUUCUUUAUCCGAAUCCUCAUGAUGAGGAUUUACAUCGAUUCAGCGGUAUAUCGAAUGUAUGCGAUAAAAUGAGUGAGCGGAAAAGAGUUGGUCAGUCAGUCGUACACACAGUGAUGAUUUUUGUAUUUUUCGGCCGGUGACCUUGAGAUUGUCUCGUUACGUAUUGUUUCUUUUCCUUCUACGACGCUUCGAGAUCGGUCAAACUAUUUUCAGUCGAGUCUUCUCGUUUUUUUCUUUCUUUUGGGAAUAGAUUUCGCAGAGAGAAUUCGGUUGAAGGACUUGAAUAAUUGAAGAAAUAAUGGAGUUAUUGGUGCACUAAAAUUUCAUUAUAAUCUGAUGCAAUGAACACCUUGGGAAAAAUAUACGGCGGGAAAUUUUAAAUUAAAAGCAAAAAAUCUAUUUAAUUCCAAGGCCUGGUUGACACCAGAGUUCGGUUUAGAGUAGCUCGGAUCAGACCUGCUUUAUACUGGUGGGUCUGUGCCGGGCCUCACCCUCGGACCAAGCUCAACGUUCCAGUCUCCAGUCCAGUCAACGUUCCAGUCUUUGGUCCAAUUGCUCAUUUAUAACGGGGUAACUCGAACAACGGACCCGCUGCAAACGUCGCAGAGAAUAAUCAAAAUACUUCGGCUAUUUAUCACCUAAACAGCUUAAAACGUGGACCCACCCCAAGACAAGGGUCUCCUUUGGAGACAGACCUCAGCUUGAACGAACAGAGGGGGACUCCUUCAACGGUCACUCGAGCAAACCACAUUGGAUUAUCAACUUGGAGAUAUUUCUUUACAAAAUGAUAGGCAAAGAAUAUCACUUACAACAAAUAAUAAUAAUUAGUAUUACGGGUUUUGAUUAUAUUUUUCAUUCAUUGGUCCUUAUGGUAAUCUUCAUCGAGUCAUUAUAUAUUACUAAGAUAGUGACUAAUAUCAAUUUGACAAUUGAACUUUCUUCUGUAAUGGACAUUUUGCACGCUAACAUGACUGAUUUUCACUACUCCUAAUGACUAACUGCUUGAUGGGAAUUUUUCGGGUUUAGCAUUUUUCCAAUGAAUACCGUGUAAAUCUCCGUCCCUUACAUUUGCCCCGAAAUUUUCGGGGUACUGUAUCGGAAUACAUUAGAUAGUCACUAGUCGCACCGGCUCUCAUCGUGAAAAUAUUGUUUUUUACCAUUUAAAAAGUGACAAUCUGCACAAAAAAUCUUGAAAAUGUAGUGAAUUUUGUAUAUUCCGUUAUGGAGCAUUGGGAGUUUUAUAAUAAUCUUGUCAACCAAACUAUUCAAAUUUGUGCCUCGCAGAGUCCUGAAUCUCAUUAGAUGUUUUUUAAAAUAAGACACCAUUUGUGGAUUUGCGAAAGGGAGCAUUGAGGGGCAGUUUUCAUUGCCCCUUAAUGUGAAAUCCUAUAGGUAUCUGAGUGCAUGCCAUGGACUCCCGCCCAGACGAUGAGAGUAUUUUCCCAAAGGUGGUAACAUCAACUGGCAGAUCUGGAUUUUUCCAAUACCGAAGACACCCUGUGGGGGUUCCUGGAUUCGUUCGGCAACCAUAACCUGCAAGGUUGUUUUCAUAUACAAAUUGCACUGGAUGUGGAUUAUUAAAAAAAGGAACUCCUGUCCUGUAAAAAAAUUUACAGAUAUUCCAGUUUUUGUUUCCGAAUGGAAAGACUUUUUCUUACUUCGAACUGAAUUUUUCACAUUCCACAACAGGAACCAGCAUAAGGAUAGGCCGUUGAAAUUCCACAUGACAGUAGCCCAAAUAAUAUUAAAUGUUAAGAUUUUGCAUGAGUGUAAUCGAUUCAAUGAUUUUGGCGAUUUUUUGAAAAUGGAAAUAUCUCCUUUUAAACAGCCUGUGAAAUUCCAUUCGAAGGAUUACUAACAAGACAAUUGGUAGGAAUAAAAGGAAAAUAAAUGCUAGUUUUCAUAUUAAUUAGAUAUACACUAAAGGCGCUGCAUUACUCAUAAUUAAAAAUUGUAUAAUCUAUUUUCUUAAUGAUAAAAUUGUUGUAUGAUUAUUUCUCUCACGUCCAACGAUGGUCAAUCGCCCUGCGAUCAGUUGUCGUAUGAUGUAUUGUCGAAACGAGUUAUCCUGUGGUGAACAAAGCCACAAUCCAUUGUAAGACUAUAUCCGUUUAUGAUAAUUGUACCUGACUGGUGGAUUUAGGUGGUGCAGUGGAUGUGCGCUAUUCAUGAUUAUUCACAAUUGCGGAUCUUGAAUAUGUGAGAUAAUUGAUUGUAACUCAACGCCACUGGAGUGUGAAGUUUAUCGCUCAUUUAAAUAUGUGUUUUUGUGGUGUCACGGAGAUUUGUGAUCAUUCAGAUAAUCAGUGGUAACUGGGUUCUAGCUAUUGAUUAUUGCUGACGAUGUUGGAUAAUAUCUUGAAUUAUUGACGUCUUUGGAAUUUCCUUUUCUGAAUAGAUAAAUCUAGUCAUCUAAUUUGUGGAAUGACCAAUUGGAAUUAAUUGGAUUAUGCGUUCUUUGAGCUAGUGAUCGCGUCACUUAGAAAAACCGAACGUUAAUUACAUUUUGUUCGGCUUAACAUUCUAAUAACAUUAUUCGCCUAUUAAAGGCCUAUUUUGUCGGCAGAAUUUAUUAUGGUAAGUUGGAUCGUUUCCCCCUCAUCAGUAGCAUAUGGGCUUCAAACAAAAACCAUUUAGCAAAUAAAUUUUAAAGUCAUUGACCCGGUGCCAUAAAUUACAUUUAUUGAAAAAACAUUGAAUAACCCAAUCGGCAAGUCAUUAUGGGAAAAUUGAUAAGCAUUGAAGGGUUGAAAGCUCUUCCAGUAACAUGUACAUGGAGAGAAAAAUUUGUAAAUUUUUAUGGUGCGCUUCCGAUAAAAAUUACUAUGCUGCCUUACAAUCUUGACGCAAAGUACAGGCCUGGGAAAGAACAUUAUGUCGCCUAGUAAAAUAUCUUUUUCGGCUUAGGAAAACGUCUACAUCGGUCUUGUAACAAUUCAAUGUCUAAUGGGCGACGAGGAGAUGGACAUAUUCGACAUUUAUCGCUAACCGAUCAUAAUAAGUUCACGAAAGUUGCUAUGCUGCACUGUAAAAAAUCCAGAAAGACACAAUAACAUCGACUAAUCUAGAUAGGCAUUUUCACAGGAUUUCUAUCAAUUAUUGAUAGCAACAGAUUUCGUAAUGGAGUUGUUAUAGAUGUUCAUAUAGACGAUGACGACGAUUUUGAAAGAAGAAAUUUGAUAAAUUCUCAUAACGUCAAAAUUUGAAUAUAUUGGCAACUACUGGUCGGAUUUAAAAUGAAAAUAUUGUCAUCUUUUCUACGAUGAACCGUCGAAUAAUCAUAGUGAGUUGCCACAAACAUCAAUGAAAUUUCGGGAAAUUAAAAUCCAAAGACGUUUCUCACACGACUUCCCACCAUUCGCUACGGCAUAGAUGACUCACCAGUAUCAAAGAGACCCCGAGAGCAGACGAGUAAAUUACAUUUUCUCCCUCCUGGCCGUUUUGAGUGAACAACCUCUUCUGCAACAACGAGCCGACUGAAAAUGGAAUGAAAUUACUGAAGAAGCGGAUCGAAAAUCUCGACAAGUCUCACAAGUUCACAGCCAAAUCGUUGGGAAUAAUAACUCGCGACAAGUGAAGCCAAUUCAGCGUGUAAUACGAAGGAGAGCCCUCCGACUAAAAAGCCGAUACUGGCACCGAAAAACGAAUAAAUUAACAAGAAGAAGAAGAAGAUAGCGAUGAAAGCUCCAAGUUCUUCAACUUAUCCAGUCUGAACGGCCAUCGAUCAUUUCCAUGAUGAGGUGGAGUCGACGAUUCAUCCGUGGGCUCAACUCCAGAGUGAAAACGGAUAUUUCAAUUGCUAGCGAAAAUACGCUAACUAGUACCAUCCGGAAACCCGUGAAAUACGAAUGGUUUAUAAGACUAAAUGGUAACAACAAAAAUUUAUUCCAUCAAAAUAUAUUAUCUGAAAAUAUAUUUUGGCAUAAUUAUACUGAAAUAUUGCUAUCUUUGGCAAUAACAUCUUGUCAUUCAAUAUAUUCAACAAUAAUGCUUUAUCCGAAAGUACAUUUUCUCAAAAUAGAUCGUCAUUGUUUUUUUAAACCGAUAAAUUCAAUAAUUAUUUAUAAAAGAAAUGUCAUAUUGAGCGAAAUCAUUCUUGAUUGAAUGAAAUUUACCGAAUUAAAAGGGAGGCAUAUCAAUAUUACUUUGAAAGUCUUGAGAAAUUUUUGCUCGUCAACGAAAUAUAUUGUUAUUAAUAAUAGGGGCGGAGAGAUUAUUAAUUAGAGAGAAUCCAGGCAAUGGUCUCUCCAAUAUUUCUAAAACUGGAAUGACGAUUCAAAAGACAGUAAAAAGAUCGACUUGAAAUUUGGAAAAAAUAAUCAUUUUAUCACUAUGACAGAUGAUAUUGAACAUAAGCUUAAUUGAACUAUGGUUUUCGUCGAUAUUCAAUUUUUAGUGUAAACUCAUUAUCUGGAAUAUCUCUGAAUUAAGCUUUCAUUAUCUGAAAAUUUUAGUCUUAAUCUCCCCUAUCAUAAUCAAUUGAAACUUUGGCAUUCCCAAUUGAAUAAAAUCGGGAAAAAUGGUGGAAAUAAUCAAAUAAAGAUUUCAUAGCCACAUAAUUACAUAUUAUGUUCAUUUUUUCAUUUUAAUUUAUUCAUGAUACAUAUAAAGUAAUAGCAAGAAACAUAUCAUAAAAGUCCGUCGGAAGUUCACCAUCAAUUUAUUGACAAAGAACAUAUUUCCACACAUUUCAAUAAGUCAUUUAUCUCAGUCGUAUAACUGGUAUUGCCUGUUCAUUUUAAUCACCUCAUUUGACGCAUGAUUAAAGUACCUUCAUCUUUAUUUGACCCUUUAUGGGAUUUUUACAACGUAUAGGUUUUAUGCACACUUGUGUACACACAAAUUACGAUGGUUAUGGAAAAAAAUCUUGAUGAAUUAAAGCCAUUGUGAAAUCAACAUCCGGGUGGCUGGAAAAAUAAACUGAACAGUUUGAUUAUUUUUUUUUACCGUCACGGCUCCUUUUAUUCCAAUGACAUGUUGAAUCACAAGUGGGUUUUCCCCAAGGACCCAGUCGCUUCAAUC